This 318-nucleotide ribosomal RNA is filed under the name uncultured bacterium. Its description in RNAcentral is "bacterial SSU rRNA". It matches the Rfam family "Bacterial small subunit ribosomal RNA", at positions 32 to 332 of the family's 1533-position model. The record is from RNAcentral.
AAUCAACGCUGGCGGCGUGCCUAACACAUGCAAGUCGAACGCGGUUACUCCGCAAGGGGUGACUGAGUGGCGAACGGGUGAGUAACACGUGGGUGAUCUACCUUCGAGUGGGGGAGUAACGUUCCGAAAGGAACGCUAAUACCGCAUGACGUUCUGGGUUUGAAGACCUGGAAACCAAAGCGUGGGGACCGCAAGGCCUGGCGCUUGGAGAGGAGCCCGCGUCCGAUUAGCUAGUUGGUGGGGUAANGGCCCACCAAGGCGACGAUCGGUAGCCGGCCUGAGAGGGCGGACGGCCACACUGGGACUGAGACACGGCCC